AUGGAGGUGGCAAGGAUGAGAAUGCUAAGGUGGAUGUGUGGGCACAGAAGGCAAGGUAAUUGAAUCAUCAAGCGGAAAAGCCGGAGCGGACACGCGCUUGAAGGAUAAAACUUUAAAAGGUGAUGUAGGUGGCAUUCCGGAUGGUGAUCAAGCAUAAGUUACGAACCGAACAUGAUACUUUUUGAGGCUUCCGCGAAUGAUGUCUUUUAGUUGUUUGUUCUAAAAACAUGUGAACUCUUAGAUGUUUAAAACUAGUAUGGUUAUGUAACUUAUACAACUUAGUUUGUUUCAACAUUAACUCUUCAAAGUUUUUUAAUGGUCGUAUUUUUACUUA
This 334-nucleotide long non-coding RNA is filed under the name Helianthus annuus (common sunflower). RNAcentral's name for it is "hypothetical non coding rna". Lineage: Eukaryota; Viridiplantae; Streptophyta; Magnoliopsida; Asterales; Asteraceae. The record is from RNAcentral.